UGCAGGACUUCGUGUGCAGGACUUUGGUGCAGGACUUUGAUGCAUGGUUUUGGGUGCAGGACUUUGGCGCAGGAUUUGGGUGUGGGAUUUUGCUGCAGGGCUUUGGUUGCAGGAUUUUGGCUGCAGCACUUUGGUGCAGAACUGAGUAUGGGGCUUUGGGUGCAGGACUGUGGUGCAGGACUUCGGUGCAGGACUUUGGUGCAGGGCUUUGGCACCUGAUUUUGGCACAGGGCUUUGAAUGCGGCACUUUGGUGCAGGACGUUGGGUGUGGGAUUUUGCUGCAGGGCUUUGGAUGCAGCACUUCGGGUGUGGGAUUUUGGCUGCAGGGUUUUGGGUGUAGGACUUUGGUUGCAGGAUUUUGAUGCAGGGAUUUUGCUGCAGGGCUUUGGUUGCAGGAUUUGGGGUGUGGGAUUUUGCUGCAGGGCUUUGGAUGCAGCACUUCGGGUGUGGGAUUUUGCUGCAGGGGUUUGGAUGCAGGGCUUUGGACGCAGGAUUUUGGGUGCAGGACUUUGACGGAGGAUUUUGGGUGUGGGAUUUUGCUGCAGGGCUUUGGUUGCAGGAUUUUGGAUGCAGGAUUUUGCAUGUGGGACUUCGCUGCAGGGCUUUGGUGCAGGACUUUGGCACCUGCUUUUGGCCCAGGAUUGCAGCGCAGGACUGCAACGCAGCGCUUUGGGUGCAGCGCUUCGGUGCAGAACGGGGUAUGGGAUUUGGGGUGCAGGGCUUUGCUGCAGGGUUUGAGUGUGGGAUUUCGGUGCAGGAUUUGGGCUGCAGGGCUUUGGUGCAGGAUUUGAGUGCAGGGCUUUGGGUGCAGGAGGUUGGCACAAGGCUUUGGCACAGGAUUUGGUGCAGGACUUUGAUUGCAGGAUUUUGGGUGCAGCACUUUGGUGCAGAACUGAGUAUGGGGCUUUGGGUGCAGGACUUCGGUGCAGGGCUUUGGGUGCACGACUUUGGGUGCAGGACUUUGAAUGCGGCACUUUGGUGCAGGACUUUGGGCGUGGGAUUUUGCAUCAGGGCUUUGGGUGCAGGACUUUGGUUGCAGGAUUUCGGUGCAGGAUUUGGGCUGCAGGGCUUUGGAUGCAGGACUUUGUUUGCAGGUCUUUGGUGCAGGGCUUUGGGUGCAGGGCUUUGUGUGCAGGACUUUGGUGCAGGACUUUGGUGCAUGAUUUUGAUGCAGGUCUUAGGAUGCAGGACUUUGGUGCAGGAUUUCGGUGCAGGACUUUG
This 1221-nucleotide long non-coding RNA is filed under the name Gallus gallus (chicken). RNAcentral's name for it is "lncRNA (ENSGALG00010009698.1)". The record is from RNAcentral. Lineage: Eukaryota; Metazoa; Chordata; Aves; Galliformes; Phasianidae.